GAUGAACGCUGGCGGCGUGCCUAAUACAUGCAAGUCGAGCGAACGGACGAGAAGCUUGCUUCUCUGAGGUUAGCGGCGGACGGGUGAGUAACACGUGGAAAACCUACCUAUAAGACUGGGAUAACUUCGGGAAACCGUAGCUAAUACCGGAUAAUAUUUUGAACCGCAUGGUUCAAAAGUGAAAGACGGUCUUGCUGUCACUUAUAGAUGGAUCCGCGCUGCAUUAGCUAGUUGGUAAGGUAACGGCUUACCAAGGCAACGAUGCAUAGCCGACCUGAGAGGGUGAUCGGCCACACUGGAACUGAGACACGGUCCAGACUCCUACGGGAGGCAGCAGUAGGGAAUCUUCCGCAAUGGGCGAAAGCCUGACGGAGCAACGCCGCGUGAGUGAUGAAGGUCUUCGGAUCGUAAAACUCUGUUAUUAGGGAAGAACAUAUGUGUAAGUAACUGUGCACAUCUUGACGGUACCUAAUCAGAAAGCCACGGCUAACUACGUG
RNAcentral lists this ribosomal RNA (497 nucleotides) under uncultured bacterium. Its description in RNAcentral is "partial 16S ribosomal RNA". It matches the Rfam family "Bacterial small subunit ribosomal RNA", at positions 28 to 507 of the family's 1533-position model. The record is from RNAcentral.